RNAcentral lists this ribosomal RNA (921 nucleotides) under Anthostomella sp. DAD-2016c. RNAcentral describes it as "eukaryotic LSU rRNA". It matches the Rfam family "Eukaryotic large subunit ribosomal RNA", at positions 326 to 1399 of the family's 3401-position model. Lineage: Eukaryota; Fungi; Ascomycota; Sordariomycetes; Xylariales; Xylariaceae. The record is from RNAcentral.
GCCAGAGACCGAUAGCGCACAAGUAGAGUGAUCGAAAGAUGAAAAGCACUUUGAAAAGAGGGUUAAAUAGCACGUGAAAUUGUUGAAAGGGAAGCGCUUAUGACCCAGACCUUUUCCAGGCCGGAUCAUCCCGGUGUUUCUCACCGGUGCACUUCGCCUGGCUUAGGCCCAGCGUCGAUUUUCGCAGGGGGAAAAAGGCUUCGGGAAUGUGACUCCCUCCGGGGAGUGUUAUAGCCCGUUGCGUAAUACCCUUGUGGGGAUCGAGGUUCGCGCUCUGCAAGGACGCUGGCAUAAUGGUCAUCAGUGACCCGUCUUGAAACACGGACCAAGGAGUCGAACAUUUGUGCGAGUGUUUGGGUGAUAAACCCUCACGCGUAAUGAAAGUGAACGGAGGUGAGAGCCCUUACGGGUGCAUCAUCGACCGAUCCUGAUGUCUUCGGAUGGAUUUGAGUAGGAGCAUAACUGUUCGGACCCGAAAGAUGGUGAACUAUGCGUGGAUAGGGUGAAGCCAGAGGAAACUCUGGUGGAGGCUCGCAGCGGUUCUGACGUGCAAAUCGAUCGUCAAAUCUGCGCAUGGGGGCGAAAGACUAAUCGAACCAUUAAACCAGCGGUAAAAAUACUUUACUAGGUGGGUUAACAGGUGCCCUAGAGAGGGGGCGCCUAGGUUGGCCUACCCGGGAGUUACUCUAGAGCUGUUACCCUGUAGACAUUACCCUGUAGUGUCUACCCUGUAGCUACCCUAGAGCAGCUACCCUGGAGGUCUGACCGACACACGCUUAAAUUGCGGGAACGUCCUAAUUGCAAGGCUCCAGGCUACCGCCGAGCGCUGAAAAGCGCUGUGGCACCGAGGAUAGCGCCCUCGGGUACGGUAAUAACGCCUGAAGUACCGGACGACCUGCAGCCAACCCCGUUACAGGGGAA